UCACCUAAUCAGCUAACAGCAAAUUAGUGGAGCUAAUGUUUUCAUUAGCAAGUUAACUUUUCCGCCUACUCUGAAAACAUUAGACCAAUCAACUUCCACAAACUUUACUUCCACUAACAUUUUUUUAAUGAAGUUUAAUAGUCAAAAACAUUUGUAAACCAUAGCAUACACUCACCAAAUGAGGGAAAUUUGCUAGAAGUCGACCCCUAAUAUCUACAGUUGUGUUCAAAAUAAUAGCAGUGUGUCUAACUGCACAUUCUAUUUAAAAUAAAAACAUAAACAUUUUAUCACAUUACAGAAAGUGAAUACAAGGGACUGUUAGACUGUUUAAAAUAAUAGCAGUGUUUGCAUUUUUCUGUGGCCUUUACUUAAGGACGAUGGCAGCAAAUGUUCAUGCUGGUUGUUGUACAUUUCUCUCUGAAAAUCUGUGUAUAAUGGGUCGUCCCAGACAUUGCUUAGAUGAACAGCGUACCUUGAUUAAGAAAGUCUAAAGUUGCCUGUAGGUACUGUGACAAUUAGAAGACGCCCAUGUGAAGCCAAGCUAUAGGCAAAAAGUCCCCGCAAAGUCCAGUUGUUGAAAAAAUGAUGUGCUGAAGUUACAAUUUGCCAAAAACACAUUGACUGGCCUAGAGAAAUGAUGCAACAUUUUGCAGACUGAUGAAAGCAAGAUUGUUCUUUUUGGGUCUAGGGGCCGCAGAUAGUUUGUCAGACAACCCCCCCAAACUGGGUUCAUGCCAAAGUACACUGUGACAACAGUGAAGCAUGGUGGAGCAAGCAACGUAUGAGAAUGCUUCUCAUACUGUGGUGUUGGACCUAUUUAGCACAUACCAGGGACCAUGGAUCAGUUUGAAUACAUCAAAAUACUUGAAGAGGUCAUGUUGCCUUCUGUUGUCUUCAACAAGACAAUGACCAGAAGCACAUCAGCAAGCGAGCAGCAUGUUGGUUCCAAUUAAUCCCAGGACCUUAAUCCAAUUACGGUGUAUGUUGACUUGUCUUUUCCAGGACAAACCUGUUUCAAGCAAGCGCACAUUUGCUUUUGCAAAGUGCCACAAAUCAGUCACUUGACUGUUCCCAUGUUGCAAAAAUUCUGGGGUCUAUGCCAUUGCAGUCCCAAAAAUUAAUGAAUGCCCAUGAGUGCACAAUAUGUUGGUUGAAACCCACGC
Long non-coding RNA from Thalassophryne amazonica, 1163 nucleotides. RefSeq lists it as uncharacterized. The record is from RefSeq and is a predicted model, not a curated record. NCBI's taxonomy places the organism in Eukaryota, Metazoa, Chordata, Actinopteri, Batrachoidiformes, Batrachoididae. The transcript has 3 exons.